Molecule: long non-coding RNA, 3909 nt
Organism: Fukomys damarensis (Damara mole-rat)
Lineage: Eukaryota; Metazoa; Chordata; Mammalia; Rodentia; Bathyergidae
Exons: 4
Source: RefSeq, a predicted model, not a curated record
AAGUUAAAAUCCUCAGCCUUUUGGGUUCAGGGUCGUUAUCCAGAGAACAUGUGCGAUGUACAAGGUCCAGUCUGCAGAGUGCCCAUCAGUGUUACUCUGGGUCCUUAGCUUUUCCUUUCCUUCUCUUAGCUGUGUUUCUUGGAAUAACUUUCUUUCACGUUUCUGGGUGCUUCUCUGCAGGUGGAAAGCCUCUAUGCAGAAAGCAUGGUGGUGUCACAUCGAGGAUCUGACCUGUCCCUUUGUCGCUGCAGAGCCGUGAGCAGAUUCCUGAGUCUCCCAGAACCUUACCUUCCUCCUCUGUCAAGGGGAGUAAGCGCUCCCCGCUUCUGGAGCCGCAAGUGUUUUCCAGAGGAGCGAGUGAGGUAGCACCGGCCAUGGAGCCCGAUGGCCAUUACGUCCUCUCUCUCCUGUUCCCCUGCCUGGGUCUGUGUCCCCUCUACAGAGGACCCUAUCAGUGCUGGUAUGGGCGGCUUGACCUGCUGCAGUUCAUUUCUCUGCUGAGUCAUUUAGUCAUCCAUCCACCUGUCUUCCGUCUGUCUGUCCGCCCAUUUAUCCAUUCCUUCAUCUGUCCCCAUCCACUUAUCAUCCAUCUGUCCAUCUGUUCAGCUCUCACACAACCACCCACCCAUCUUCCAUCCAUCCAUCCACCCUCCACUCCCCGGCUCAUUGAUUCCAUUCAGUGUAUAAUACAUGGUUGCCUAAUCACGCCUCAUACAUUUCUACUGGAUAGUUUCAGGAACAGAAAGCAGCAGUCAACACAACAAUGAUCACAACAUGGCUUUGGAAACAUAAGCUUCUUCCUGCCAGCUUCCUUGGGGAGCAGGUGGUUCUGACCUUGAAGGCAGGACGUAUGGAACCAAGAGUACUUUAAUGGCUUUUAAACUGGUUUUACCAGAAUCUAAAGACUCUGGUUGGGCCAAGGGGAUUAGAGGGAGAACUGUGACUUCACACAAAGGAACUGUCCUUCUCAUCUGCUUAUAUAUAGGGGUCUCCGUUUAAGAUUUGAUUUAGAAAAAAUAAGUGUCGAUCUGCUCAGUAAAACUCUGCAGUAGGAAAACAGCUUUAAUUGAAAGAUGGGGAGAGCCGAGCCCUCCUGUCUCUCUGUCCUCAUGGUGUCGGACUUGGACUCAGGAAAUCUGGGUGUCUUCACCCCUGAGGUGGGUGCCCUGUGACCCUGCUCAUCCCUCGCACAGUCACGCAUUUCAGAUAUGAAAGGAAAGUGGAGAAAGAUUGUUUUCCAUCUUGCUAACCAUAGAAUAAAAAUAAAAUCACUCACCUGCACAGAGCUUUUAGUACUCAGCAUGCUAUGUGCUAAGAAUUAAAUGGAUGCUUGCAUUUGACCCCCUAAAACUUGUGUGGUGGGUGCUGUGAUUAUCUUCGCUCAUCUGAGGAAGGAGCUGAGAAGAAGAGGCAUCCAUGCACCCGUGCAGUCAGUGGUGAAGCUGGGAUCUGAACGCAGGAAUCAUCACCAAGAUUUUACAGUGAGCACAGGGGAGACGGCGGGGCUGUAACCUCCAAUGACCUAAAACUUCCGAUUCUUAGACUGAGAAAGGACAGCGGGGCUGACUGAAGUAGCCGUGACAGAGACUGUCUGUCUCGCAAGUCUAAAAGUACACGACCCAACUCUACUUAAAAGUUGUGGUGUUUGAAGAGUGACUGGAGGUCUGACGUAGUCUGUUCUUACAACACCCUUUCUUCCUCCUCUGGGAAGCCCUCUGUACUGGAGAAAAGUGGGCAGACUCGCUGAAGGAAAGGAGGUGCCCAGUGCUGGACCAGUGGAACCGCUUCCUGAGGGGCCUUGUGCAGAGUCUGUCCAGUCUUCCCAGCUCAGCAGGGAUGAGUAUUUCAGUGCAGACACUGGGAUCCUUCGUGGCUCCAGUGCUGAGAGCCGGAUUCAGCAGUAUAUCCAGUUCUCCAGCGCAGAUGGCUCAGAGCCUGGCUGGCUUUUGCCUGCUGUUGGAACCGCCCCGCGGUCCUGGCACCUGGAAAAACAGAGCCUCUUAAUGUUUCCCCUCCGGUCACCACCUUCCAACUCUCACUGCUAAGAGGAGGAGAAAUCAGCUUUUAACACCCUCCGGGCGGCCUUCCUUCUGCAUUCGAUCUGGCAAAGUGGAGAGAGGUCACUGGGGCCCACGGAGUGAGCGGGAGGCCUUGUCAUCGGGCCGCGUGCGAACCGGGUGAUCAGAGGCGCAGCGGGCCGGGUAGCCUGGAACUCACCUGGCAGAUAUUACGGGAGGGCCGGCGCGGCACGCCAAGUGUGAGUGCCGACAGGGCGCGUCGGGGAAGUCAGCCAGUGCUGUUAGGCAGCAGUGUUCUCUCACGCCGUCUCCUGCUGGCUUUCUAGUUAGGGGCUCCCCGGGGCAGUUGGUUGGCAUUGAAGAAUUGGCCAGAAGAAUCGGAGCAGCAACUGUGUGGGGUUCGGCACUGCUGGGGCUGGAACAAGGGUUUUUCUAAAUCCUUUUUCCUCCCAUCAUCCCCUCUGGAACCAGGACUUGCCACCUGUGACCCCCGUUUGCAAGUGUGGUGCGGGGCCCUAGGCCCACACUUCUGGGGUUUGAGUCCCAGGCCUCCCACUUCUCAGCUGGGUGACCUGCAGCAGGUAACUCAACCUCUCUGUGCCUCAGUUUCCUCAUUGGUAAAGGAGGGAGGAUAACAGCAUACACCUAGGCAGGGGGUGGUUGGGAGUUAGGAGGGUGCAAAGAUGAACUCAGCUCACCCUCCCAGCACUGGCUUUCCAUUCCCCGGAGGAGGAGGCUGAGGCUCAGAGAGGGAAAGCAGCUUUCCUAAAGGCACACAGUUGGCGGGAGGCAGAGCAGGGAUUGAAGCUGAAACCCAGUGAUCCUAUUUCUAAGCCCUCAUGACCUGGGAAGGGUAUGGCCUUACCCCAUUUUGCACCUGAAAAAAAUAUUCAGCUAAAGAAUAAGCAACCAGUUGAAUAUUCAAAGCCAGGUCUUUCCACUCACAUUGUGGAGGACACUGAAGAGGAAGAAAGGGGAACGGCCUCCUCUCAGGGCUUCUCUUUCUCCGGUGCCGAAUCUGCAGUCCGUGUCCCUGCAGCCCUGUGUCUUUGGAAUGCAGAGCAGCAGCCCGGGGCUCCGAAGAGUCCCCUAGCUUGGCCAAGGUCACCACUUUUGCCUAUUUCCGCUUCCGGACCAGCGGGCCGGGCUCUCAGCCCCAGGGCCGCUGAGAAAAGGCUGCUGAACCCACAUGCCCUGGUUGGACUAGGUCUUGGCCAAACAUCCAUCCCCAAGGGCCAGGGAGCGGGGCUGGUAGGCAGAGGUGCCCUAAUUCAAUCCAGCUCGGCUUCCAUCUUGCCUCUUGCAAGGACUCGGGGCUCAAGGGCAAAACUCUGGUGAACUCCAGAAGCAGCAAGGACAAAGGAGAACUAAUUAAGACUGAAAGCAAAACGGCCCCAAGCGCCGCCUCCUGUCCCUAUAGAGACCCUGGUAGCCCGUAUUUUGCUUCCUUGCCGACAGCCCCAGUGCGUUCUCAGAGCCCUGUGUGCACUGAAGGGAGACCCCUAGUCCGGGUCGGAGAGGGGGCCGCCUGAGGAGAAGGCAGCUGUGAAUCUGCAGAUGCACGGAUUAAAAUCAGACAGCCCUGCUCCAUGCAGGGUUCUGCCCCGGUGACUCUAGCUACCCCUGCUCCACUUUCUUUCACAUUCAAUACGCAGCAUUGAGGUAAACUCGGAGCUGGACAAAUGGCCUGUGGCCGUCCAGGAAUAGUGGCUCCUUCAUUCAUCCUGGUGAUAACCUCCAAUUCCUUUCUCUCUCUCUUCAUUUUUGAACAGCCAUGUGGACAGAAUAGCCCAGUGCUUUUUUUUUCUUUUUUAUGAUUUUGUAAAGGAUGAUAAUACUGACUCCCUCAGCUAUGUUAACUUCAUGGCUCCAUCCUGCAAAAUGACAAAUA